This is a long non-coding RNA of Seriola aureovittata, 884 nucleotides long. RefSeq lists it as uncharacterized. The record is from RefSeq and is a predicted model, not a curated record. NCBI's taxonomy places the organism in Eukaryota, Metazoa, Chordata, Actinopteri, Carangiformes, Carangidae. The transcript has 3 exons.
UUUAAUAACAAUUCCUUGAGUUGUCAGAAAAUGAACAGGAUGCAGUUUCGUUGGGUUUUUUCAGCAGCAACAUGCCCCACAUUUCCAUUUCCCUAAGUUGUGACACGGGAAAGUCAAAGCGUUUGAAGACUUCAGUUUAUGCAGGAGGGUUAAAGAGCAUGUUACUACACAUAUGACCCACAUACAUUUCAAAGAGUGGAGCUGCACCGCAGAUGAUCGUCCAUUGAUCUGUCCAGUGUGGGACACAACAUAAACUCUGACAAAAUUUACGACAUUUUGCUCUUUUUAGGCUGUGCAAACAAACCAAACUGAACAAACACCACACAGCACGCACAUCACAGGUUUGUUCGAACUUUGGAGAUGGUUUCAAAGAUAAUCUCACUCUUGUAGAGCAGUGUCGCCCGCAUCACGGCAUUUUUGUGCUACAUUUGCACAAAUUUUCAUAAAACAGAGUGAGAAAUCACUAGUCAAAUUCUCUUUUCACUACAGCCUCUAUGUGCAGUCACUUGAACUAUGCUUAUCUGUGUUGUUUUUCCUGUGUGCUUACCUGUCUUGGUGAGCACGGAGGCCUUGACAUACACAGAGUUGCCCACCAAAGAUCUAAAGUCUGUGGGAGACAGCUGUUGGUGAGUACAGGAAUGAAGUUUGAUGCUGAACACGCAACUUUUCAUCUAGACUGCUGCAUGUGGACACUAUGGUUGAGUCCCGUGGCUCUCACCAUCUCACCAUAUAAAAAUCAACAGGAACCAAGCUCGAACCCCAGUUUAGGCAACCUCUCGAGCACCAAGGAGACGCUCUUCACUGCACUGCCUGCAUUAUCCUUUUUACAGACAGGGGAACACCACAGUGACAUUCGCUUGACACCAAACACGGAGAGAGGCUUA